UCUUGAUACAUAACUGAAAAUUCUAAAAGCAUUCCCAUCGUAGUUCAUCAUCAAAAUGAUGUGAAAAAUGGGAAUACUUUAAGAAUUUCAGUUAUGCAUCAAUC
Molecule: non-coding RNA, 104 nt
Organism: Cajanus cajan (pigeon pea)
Lineage: Eukaryota; Viridiplantae; Streptophyta; Magnoliopsida; Fabales; Fabaceae
Source: Rfam